This 702-nucleotide ribosomal RNA is filed under the name Bacillus sp. Y143_2. Its description in RNAcentral is "bacterial SSU rRNA". It matches the Rfam family "Bacterial small subunit ribosomal RNA", at positions 65 to 747 of the family's 1533-position model. The record is from RNAcentral. Lineage: Bacteria; Bacillati; Bacillota; Bacilli; Caryophanales; Bacillaceae.
AGCGAAUGGAUUAAGAGCUUGCUCUUAUGAAGUUAGCGGCGGACGGGUGAGUAACACGUGGGUAACCUGCCCAUAAGACUGGGAUAACUCCGGGAAACCGGGGCUAAUACCGGAUAACAUUUUGAACUGCAUGGUUCGAAAUUGAAAGGCGGCUUCGGCUGUCACUUAUGGAUGGACCCGCGUCGCAUUAGCUAGUUGGUGAGGUAACGGCUCACCAAGGCAACGAUGCGUAGCCGACCUGAGAGGGUGAUCGGCCACACUGGGACUGAGACACGGCCCAGACUCCUACGGGAGGCAGCAGUAGGGAAUCUUCCGCAAUGGACGAAAGUCUGACGGAGCAACGCCGCGUGAGUGAUGAAGGCUUUCGGGUCGUAAAACUCUGUUGUUAGGGAAGAACAAGUGCUAGUUGAAUAAGCUGGCACCUUGACGGUACCUAACCAGAAAGCCACGGCUAACUACGUGCCAGCAGCCGCGGUAAUACGUAGGUGGCAAGCGUUAUCCGGAAUUAUUGGGCGUAAAGCGCGCGCAGGUGGUUUCUUAAGUCUGAUGUGAAAGCCCACGGCUCAACCGUGGAGGGUCAUUGGAAACUGGGAGACUUGAGUGCAGAAGAGGAAAGUGGAAUUCCAUGUGUAGCGGUGAAAUGCGUAGAGAUAUGGAGGAACACCAGUGGCGAAGGCGACUUUCUGGUCUGUAACUGACACU